CCCAAGGCUAACCAGGCUAACCCGAAUUAACGUGUCAACACUUCUCAAAAGACCAGUUUGAUUAAUUUAUUUAAAGAGAACACUUUAGAGGAGGAUAAAAGAACAAGAGAGAAACAAAUGACCCAUUUUCUGUUAGAGCGAAGGACGAACGGCCCUCAAAUCAACCACAUAGUGAACUGCAGCACCUGUGGCCGCCCACCGUCUAAUAAUGUCCCUAAAGGCAUCACAGGAGGCCACCAGUCAAAGCUUGUGGGCGUCAGGAGUGUUGUGUGUGCAUGGACUUCGAAUCAGGGCAAGCUGUGAACGGCCCGGUGCCCUGCGCUUGGAGGCAGCCAUCUGUCAGCUGACGCUUGGUCGACACGGCAAUCAGAACGCGCUGCGGCGGCUCCAAUCUGUUCCACCACAGCUUAGCGGCCAGAAUCAACAUCCAGGCUGAGAGGAAAGCAAUUGAAACGUCUGCUGCACUGAGGGACUUCCACACGCCGUCCACGUACUGCAAACACGACAAACACUCAAAGCAGUAACAUGCAGCGUCCAGCUCUUCAUUGAGGCAACUCAUAGAUAAAUGGCACAAUCCUAACAAAUAAUGUCCAGGGUGAAAAAGAAAGGUGUGGACUUUGAAAAGGACAAACAGUACGUGUGGUAAUAGUGACUAUAUGUGGUGAAAUGCAAGUGAAUCGUGCCUGUCAGUAUUUCUCUAAACAAUCUUACUUGUGUAGUGACUUUAGCUCAGUGUGUACAAUUAUAUAUUUUGUGUAUAAACAUCCUGUAAUUGGGAAGAUUGUCUGAGCAAGUAAAAGAAGAGAUCUCAGGUACAUGAGAGAUUUGUAUUUUGUGAGUGCAUUUAGCUUGUAUAGUGGGUGCGUGUGUGUGUGUGUGUGUGUGUCUGAGUGAGUCAUUGGUUGCUUGGCAGCAG
This is a long non-coding RNA of Mugil cephalus (flathead mullet), 916 nucleotides long. RefSeq lists it as uncharacterized. Lineage: Eukaryota; Metazoa; Chordata; Actinopteri; Mugiliformes; Mugilidae. The record is from RefSeq and is a predicted model, not a curated record. The transcript is spliced from 4 exons.